GCGAAUAUAAAUUAAUGGUAGAUUUUUUACCUUCCAAGUAAAUAGUAUUGGUUCGAAUCCAAUUAUUCGCU
RNAcentral lists this transfer RNA (71 nucleotides) under Storeatula sp. CCMP1868. RNAcentral describes it as "tRNA-Gly". It matches the Rfam family "tRNA". From Rfam's summary of the family: Transfer RNA (tRNA) molecules are approximately 80 nucleotides in length. Their secondary structure includes four short double-helical elements and three loops (D, anti-codon, and T loops). The record is from RNAcentral. Lineage: Eukaryota; Cryptophyceae; Pyrenomonadales; Pyrenomonadaceae.